CAGUCGCCGCGGUAAAACCAGCACCUCGAGUGGUCAGGAGGUUUAUUGGGCCUAAAGCAUCCGUAGCCGGUUGCAUAAGUUUUCGGUUAAAUCUAUGCGCUUAACGUAUAGGCCGCCGAAAAUACUGUGCAGCUAGGGAGUGGGAGAGGUACACGGUACUCGAUAGGAAGGGGUAAAAUCCUUUGAUCUAUUGAUGACCACCUGUGGCGAAGGCGGUGUACCAGAACACGUUCGACGGUGAGGGAUGAAAGCUGGGGGAGCAAACCGGAUUAGAUACCCCAGUAGUCCCUGUCUCUUAUAC
RNAcentral lists this ribosomal RNA (301 nucleotides) under uncultured bacterium. RNAcentral describes it as "partial 16S ribosomal RNA". It matches the Rfam family "Archaeal small subunit ribosomal RNA", at positions 459 to 760 of the family's 1478-position model. The record is from RNAcentral.